CGACAGGGGCGGCGUGCUAUACAUGCAAGUCGAGCGGACAGAAGGGAGCUUGCUCCCGGAUGUUAGCGGCGGACGGGUGAGUAACACGUGGGUAACCUGCCUGUAAGACUGGGAUAACUCCGGGAAACCGGAGCUAAUACCGGAUAGUUCCUUGAACCGCAUGGUUCAAGGAUGAAAGACGGUUUCGGCUGUCACUUACAGAUGGACCCGCGGCGCAUUAGCUAGUUGGUGAGGUAACGGCUCACCAAGGCGACGAUGCGUAGCCGACCUGAGAGGGUGAUCGGCCACACUGGGACUGAGACACGGCCCAGACUCCUACGGGAGGCAGCAGUAGGGAAUCUUCCGCAAUGGACGAAAGUCUGACGGAGCAACGCCGCGUGAGUGAUGAAGGUUUUCGGAUCGUAAAGCUCUGUUGUUAGGGAAGAACAAGUGCAAGAGUAACUGCUUGCACCUUGACGGUACCUAACCAGAAAGCCACGGCUAACUACGUGCCAGCAGCCGCGGUAAUACGUAGGUGGCAAGCGUUGUCCGGAAUUAUUGGGCGUAAAGGGCUCGCAGGCGGUUUCUUAAGUCUGAUGUGAAAGCCCCCGGCUCAACCGGGGAGGGUCAUUGGAAACUGGGAAACUUGAGUGCAGAAGAGGAGAGUGGAAUUCCACGUGUAGCGGUGAAAUGCGUAGAGAUGUGGAGGAACACCAGUGGCGAAGGCGACUCUCUGGUCUGUAACUGACGCUGAGGAGCGAAAGCGUGGGG
RNAcentral lists this ribosomal RNA (750 nucleotides) under bacterium. RNAcentral's name for it is "bacterial SSU rRNA". It matches the Rfam family "Bacterial small subunit ribosomal RNA", at positions 31 to 766 of the family's 1533-position model. The record is from RNAcentral.